Molecule: non-coding RNA, 145 nt
Organism: Punica granatum (pomegranate)
Lineage: Eukaryota; Viridiplantae; Streptophyta; Magnoliopsida; Myrtales; Lythraceae
Source: Rfam
UUAGCAGGGCAUGUGUAUCGGCCUGUACGAUGAAGAUCGAUGUGCUGUGCCGAAAGGGUUACCCCUGCAAGAUUGAUUUCUCGGUGAAGAUGGGCAGUUAUAAUUCACAUUAAUGAAUCAUUCAACUAUAAUCUUCCCCAAAUGU